AAGAAACUAACAAGGAUUCCCCUAGUAACGGCGAGUGAAGAGGGAAAAGCCCAGCACCGAAUCCCACAGCCUUGCGCUGUCGGGAACUGUGGUGUAUAGGAAGCCUACUUGUCGGCGUGUUCGGGUACCCAAGUCCUCCUGAUCGUGGCCUCUCCCAUAGCGGGUGUCAGGCCCAUACAGGCACCCGACGGCGUCGGCUUGGAGCUUCCUCGGAGUCGGGUUGUUUGGGAAUG
RNAcentral lists this ribosomal RNA (233 nucleotides) under Unio mancus mancus. RNAcentral's name for it is "partial 28S ribosomal RNA". It matches the Rfam family "Eukaryotic large subunit ribosomal RNA", at positions 59 to 282 of the family's 3401-position model. The record is from RNAcentral. Lineage: Eukaryota; Metazoa; Mollusca; Bivalvia; Unionida; Unionidae.